ACGCGAAGAACCUUACCCAGGCUUGAACAGCGAGUGACCACUCAUGAAAGUGAGCUUCCGCAAGGACACUCGUAGAGGUGCUGCAUGGCUGUCGUCAGCUCGUGUCGUGAGAUGUUGGGUUAAGUCCCGCAACGAGCGCAACCCUUGUUUGCUGUUGCCAUCAGGUUAUGCUGGGCACUCUGCAAAGACCGCCGGUGAUAAACCGGAGGAAGGUGGGGAUGACGUCAAGUCAGCAUGGCCUUUAUGUCUGGGGCUACACACGUGCUACAAUGGCCGGUACAAACCGUCGCGAGCCCGCAAGGGGGAGCUAAUCGGAGAAAGCCGGUCUCAGUUCGGAUAGCAGGCUGCAACUCGCCUGCUUGAAGUUGGAAUCGCUAGUAAUCGCGGAUCAGCACGCCGCGGUGAAUACGUUCCCGGGCCUUGUA
RNAcentral lists this ribosomal RNA (425 nucleotides) under uncultured Acidobacterium sp. RNAcentral's name for it is "bacterial SSU rRNA". It matches the Rfam family "Bacterial small subunit ribosomal RNA", at positions 959 to 1385 of the family's 1533-position model. The record is from RNAcentral. Lineage: Bacteria; Pseudomonadati; Acidobacteriota; Terriglobia; Terriglobales; Acidobacteriaceae.